Molecule: ribosomal RNA, 134 nt
Filed under: Taraxacum (sect. Naevosa) sp. TL264-2
Lineage: Eukaryota; Viridiplantae; Streptophyta; Magnoliopsida; Asterales; Asteraceae
Description: 5.8S ribosomal RNA
Rfam family: 5.8S ribosomal RNA (bases 1-116)
About the family: 5.8S ribosomal RNA (5.8S rRNA) is a component of the large subunit of the eukaryotic ribosome.
Source: RNAcentral
GAUGGRAUCAAAAUGCGAUACUUGGUGUGAAUUGCAGAAYCCCGUGAACCAUCGAGUUUUUGAACGCAAGUUGCGCCCGAAGCCAUCCGGNUUAGGGCACGCCUGCCUGGGCGUCACGCAUCGCGUCGCCCCAC